This 427-nucleotide ribosomal RNA is filed under the name uncultured prokaryote. RNAcentral's name for it is "bacterial SSU rRNA". It matches the Rfam family "Bacterial small subunit ribosomal RNA", at positions 355 to 774 of the family's 1533-position model. The record is from RNAcentral.
UGAGGAAUUUUGCGCAAUGGGGGAAACCCUGACGCAGCAACGCCGCGUGAGUGAAGAAGGCCUUCGGGUCGUAAAGCUCUGUCAGGUGGAAAAAAUGAUUCAUGGUAAAUAGCUAUGAAUUUUGGUGGUACCACCAGAGGAAGCACCGGCUAACUCCGUGCCAGCAGCCGCGGUAAUACGGAGGGUGCAAGCGUUGUUCGGAAUUACUGGGCGUAAAGAGCGUGUAGGCGGUAUGGUAAGUCAGAUGUGAAAGCCCUGGGCUUAACCCAGGAAGUGCAUUUGAUACUGCUAUUCUUGAGUAUGGGAGAGGAGAGUGGAAUUCCCAGUGUAGAGGUGAAAUUCGUAGAUAUUGGGAGGAACAUCCGUGGCGAAGGCGACUCUCUGGACCAAUACUGACGCUGAGACGCGAAAGCGUGGGGAGCAAACA